AGAGCGAACGCUGGCGGCAGGCUUAACACAUGCAAGUCGAGCGGGCGUAGCAAUACGUCAGCGGCAGACGGGUGAGUAACGCGUGGGAACGUACCUUUUGGUUCGGAACAACCCAGGGAAACUUGGGCUAAUACCGGAUAAGCCCUUACGGGGAAAGAUUUAUCGCCGAAAGAUCGGCCCGCGUCUGAUUAGCUAGUUGGUGGGGUAAUGGCCCACCAAGGCGACGAUCAGUAGCUGGUCUGAGAGGAUGAUCAGCCACAUUGGGACUGAGACAAACGGCCCAAACUCCUACGGGAGGCAGCAGUGGGGAAUAUUGGACAAUGGGCGCAAGCCUGAUCCAGCCAUGCCGCGUGAGUGAUGAAGGCCCUAGGGUUGUAAAGCUUCUUUUGUGCGGGAAGAUAAUGACGGUACCGCAAGAAUAACGCCCGGCUAACUUCGCGCCAGCAGCCGC
RNAcentral lists this ribosomal RNA (451 nucleotides) under uncultured bacterium. RNAcentral describes it as "SSU rRNA". It matches the Rfam family "Bacterial small subunit ribosomal RNA", at positions 26 to 518 of the family's 1533-position model. The record is from RNAcentral.